This 497-nucleotide ribosomal RNA is filed under the name uncultured bacterium. Its description in RNAcentral is "partial 16S ribosomal RNA". It matches the Rfam family "Bacterial small subunit ribosomal RNA", at positions 28 to 507 of the family's 1533-position model. The record is from RNAcentral.
GAUGAACGCUGGCGGCGUGCCUAAUACAUGCAAGUCGAGCGAACGGACGAGAAGCUUGCUUCUCUGAUGUUAGCGACGGACGGGUGAGUAACACGUGGAUAACCUACCUAUAAGACUGGGAUAACUUCGGGAAACCGGAGCUAAUACCGGAUAAUAUUUUGAACCGCAUGGUUCAAAAGUGAAAGACGGUCUUGCUGUCACUUAUAGAUGGAUCCGCGCUGCAUUAGCUAGUUGGUAAGGUAACGGCUUACCAAGGCAACGAUGCAUAGCCGACCUGAGAGGGUGAUCGGCCACACUAGAACGGAGACACGGUCCAGACUCCUACGGGAGGCAGCAGUAGGGAAUCGUCCGCAAUGGGCGAAAGCCUGACGGAGCAACGCCGCGUGAGUGAUGAAGGUCUUCGGAUCGUAAAACUCUGUUAUUAGGGAAGAACAUAUGUGUAAGUAACUGUGCACAUCUUGACGGUACCUAAUCAGAAAGCCACGGCUAACUACGUG